UCCCUCUAUUUUGGCGACUCAACACUUAAGUCCCUCACUUUCUCUUCCGUCCAAAUUCGUAGUCCUUCCGUCCAUUUAAACCGUUUGAUCAAAGAGUCAAAAGUGAGAUGUGAUGAUUUUUUCCAAAAAUACCCUUCUUUCAAUGUGAAAUUCCAGAAGAAGAAGAAGAAGAAGAAGAAGAAGAAGAAGAAGAAGAAGAAGAAGAAGAAGAAAGAAGAAGAAGAAGAAGAAAAAGUUGCUGGGUAGGAAGAAGAAGAAGAAGAAGAAGAAGAAGAAGAAGAAGAAGAAGAAGAAGAAGAGGAGGGUUAAUUUUGUCAAUUCACGUGUCCCAAACG
This 335-nucleotide long non-coding RNA is filed under the name Manihot esculenta (cassava). RNAcentral describes it as "long non-coding RNA (MESC_LNC003249)". Lineage: Eukaryota; Viridiplantae; Streptophyta; Magnoliopsida; Malpighiales; Euphorbiaceae. The record is from RNAcentral.